Molecule: ribosomal RNA, 837 nt
Filed under: Psychrobacter celer
Lineage: Bacteria; Pseudomonadati; Pseudomonadota; Gammaproteobacteria; Moraxellales; Moraxellaceae
Description: bacterial SSU rRNA
Rfam family: Bacterial small subunit ribosomal RNA
Source: RNAcentral
UGGGAACUGCAUCUGAUACUGUUAAGCUAGAGUAGGUGAGAGGGAAGUAGAAUUCCAGGUGUAGCGGUGAAAUGCGUAGAGAUCUGGAGGAAUACCGAUGGCGAAGGCAGCUUCCUGGCAUCAUACUGACACUGAGGCUCGAAAGCGUGGGUAGCAAACAGGAUUAGAUACCCUGGUAGUCCANGCCGUAAACGAUGUCUNNUAGUCGUUGGGUCCCUUGAGGACUUAGUGACGCAGNUAACGCAAUAAGUAGACCGCNUGGGGAGUACGGCCGCAAGGUUAAAACUCAAAUGAAUUGACGGGGGCCCGCACAAGCGGUGGAGCAUGUGGUUUANUUNGNUGCAACGNGAAGAACCUUACCUGGUCUUGACAUACACAGAAUCUUGUANAGAUACGAGAGUGCCUUCGGGAAUUGUGAUACAGGUGCUGCAUGGCNGUCGUCAGNUNGUGUCGUGAGAUGUUGGGUUAAGUCCCGCAACGAGCGCAACCCUUGUCCUUAGUUACCAGCGGGUUAAGCCGGGAACUCUAAGGAUACUGCCAGUGACAAACUGGAGGAAGGCGGGGACGANGUCAAGUCAUCAUGGCCCUUACGACCAGGGCUACACACGUGCUACANUGGUAGGUACAGAGGGCAGCUACACAGCGAUGUGAUGCGAAUCUCAAAAAGCCUAUCGUAGUCCAGAUUGGAGUCUGCAACUCGACUCCAUGAAGUAGGAAUCGCUAGUAAUCGCGGAUCAGAAUGCCGCGGUGAAUACGUUCCCGGGCCUUGUACACACCGCCCGUCACACCAUGGGAGUUGANUGCACCAGAAGUGGUUAGCCUAACUUAGUGAGGGCG